RNAcentral lists this ribosomal RNA (447 nucleotides) under uncultured bacterium. RNAcentral describes it as "bacterial SSU rRNA". It matches the Rfam family "Bacterial small subunit ribosomal RNA", at positions 330 to 793 of the family's 1533-position model. The record is from RNAcentral.
UCCAGACUCCUACGGGAGGCAGCAGUGGGGAAUAUUGGGCAAUGGGCGCAAGCCUAACCCAGCAAUGCCGCGUGAAGGAAGAAGGCUUUCGGGUUGUAAACUUCUUUGACAGGGGAAGAGCAGAAGACGGUACCCUGAAAACAAGCCACGGCUAACUACGUGCCAGCAGCCGCGGUAAUACGGAGGAUGCGAGCGUUAUCCGGAUUUAUUGGGUUUAAAGGGUGCGUAGGCGGACAGUCAAGUCAGCGGUAAAAAUGCGGUGCUCAACGCCGUACAGCCGUUGAAACUGGCAGUCUUGGGUGGGCGAGAAGUAUGCGGAAUGCGUGGUGUAGCGGUGAAAUGCAUAGAUAUCACGCAGAACUCCGAUUGCGAAGGCAGCAUACCGGCGCCCGACUGACGCUGAGGCACGAAAGCGUGGGUAUCGAACAGGAUUAGAUACCCCAGUAC